Molecule: transfer RNA, 72 nt
Filed under: Oryza brachyantha (malo sina)
Lineage: Eukaryota; Viridiplantae; Streptophyta; Magnoliopsida; Poales; Poaceae
Rfam family: tRNA
About the family: Transfer RNA (tRNA) molecules are approximately 80 nucleotides in length. Their secondary structure includes four short double-helical elements and three loops (D, anti-codon, and T loops). Further hydrogen bonds mediate the characteristic L-shaped molecular structure. tRNAs have two regions of fundamental functional importance: the anti-codon, which is responsible for specific mRNA codon recognition, and the 3' end, to which the tRNAs corresponding amino acid is attached (by aminoacyl-tRNA synthetases). tRNAs cope with the degeneracy of the genetic code in two manners: having more than one tRNA (with a specific anti-codon) for a particular amino acid; and 'wobble' base-pairing, i.e. permitting non-standard base-pairing at the 3rd anti-codon position.
Source: Rfam by way of RNAcentral
GCCGACCUAGCUCAGUGGUAGAGCGCGUGGCUUUUAACCACGUGGUCGUGGGUUCCACCCCCACGGUCGGCG